This 465-nucleotide ribosomal RNA is filed under the name uncultured bacterium. RNAcentral's name for it is "partial 16S ribosomal RNA". It matches the Rfam family "Bacterial small subunit ribosomal RNA", at positions 28 to 507 of the family's 1533-position model. The record is from RNAcentral.
GACGAACGCUGGCGGCGUGCUUAACACAUGCAAGUCGAACGGAAAGGCCCCUUUGGGGGUACUCGAGUGGCGCACGGGUGAGUAACACGUGAGUAACCUGCCCUUGACUUCGGGAUAACUUCAGGAAACUGGGGCUAAUACCGGAUAGGAAUCCUUGCUGCAUGGUGGGGGUUGGAAAGCUUCGGCGGUUUUGGAUGGACUCGCGGCUUAUCAGCUUGUUGGUGGGGUAGUGGCUUACCAAGGCUUCGACGGGUAGCCGGCCUGAGAGGGCGACCGGCCACAUUGGGACUGAGGUACGGCCCAGACGCCUACGGGAGGCAGCAGUGGGGAAUAUUGCACAAGGGGCGGAGGCCGGAUGCAGCAACGCCGCGUGCGGGAUGACGGCCUUCGGGUUGUAAACCGCUUUCAGCAGGGGCGAAGCUUGUGGUGACGGUACCUGCAGAAGAAGCACCGGCUAACUACGUG